CAGGAUCACGAGCUGAGCCCAAUGCAGACCCUCAACCACUGAGCCACCCAAGCAUUCCUAAGUUAACGGAGCCUUAGCAGAACAAAGAUCCCACAGACACAGAUUCUAUCUUCCCAUCUGUCUUACAGCUGGACCUGACAGACUAAUUCCUAGACGAGCUGCUGGGAGGUAGAGCAACACAUCCAACUCCCGUUUCAUUUAGUUGAAAAGAAUUGCUUGGACUUCUGUUCCUCCUUCUUCCUAUGAGCUUCCUGAUAUGGCAGGAACUGAGCUUUGGAAAUGAAGGUGAAGCAGAGAAACAUGAUGGGGGUGUAGAGGGGGAAAGGGAUGUAUCUCCUGGAAUGACCACAAGACACUAACUUGCCCCAUCAGCACAGACAAGCCAGACAAUUAAAUGAGAAGUAAAUAAAUUUCAGGGUGCUUGGGUGGCUCAGUCAGUUAA
Molecule: long non-coding RNA, 442 nt
Organism: Canis lupus familiaris (dog)
Lineage: Eukaryota; Metazoa; Chordata; Mammalia; Carnivora; Canidae
Exons: 2
Source: RefSeq, a predicted model, not a curated record